UGGGGAAUAUUGGACAAUGGGCGAAAGCCUGAUCCAGCUACGCCGCGUGAGUGAUGAAGGCCUUUGGGUUGUAAAGCUCUGUCGUGAGGGAAGAAGUUCUGACGGUACCUCACAAGAAAGCACCGGCUAACUCCGUGCCAGCAGCCGCGGUAAUACGGAGGGUGCAAGCGUUGCUCGGAAUUACUGGGCGUAAAGCGAGCGCAGGCGGACUAUUAAGCUGGAUGUGAAAGCCCAGGGCUCAACCCUGGAACUGCAUCCAGAACUGGUAGUCUAGAGGAUAUGAGAGGGAAGUAGAAUUCCUGGUGUAGAGGUGAAAUUCGUUGAUAUCAGGAGGAAUACCUGUGGCGAAGGCGGCUUCCUGGCAUAUUUCUGACGCUGAGGCUCGAAAGCGUGGGUAGCGAACAGG
Molecule: ribosomal RNA, 406 nt
Filed under: uncultured bacterium
Lineage: Bacteria
Description: bacterial SSU rRNA
Rfam family: Bacterial small subunit ribosomal RNA
Source: RNAcentral